CCCAUUCUGCUUCUUCGAGAGAACUCCUAACAAACUAAGAUCUACCUGCAGCAUGUUGACAGGAUGAGGAAACAAAGACCAAAAAAUAAGAGAAAGGUGAGCUUACGAGGACAAUCACACAUGAUGGCCUUGAUUAACCACUCCACCAUACACAACCAAAUCAUGAUUCAUCCUACAUGACGAGUGGCAACACGAUAGGUAUUUUCUUUCCCUUAUAUUAACCACUUGUUUUAUUUUCUUUUUUUAAUCAGCAAAGCUACUUCUAUUCUAUACACCUAUAUUAUUUAUGUUAAGUAAUGGGUUGUUCAAACAUGAUGUGUGGUCGCAGGGUCCAUUUCCCUAUUGCAUACGGUCUACAUGUGUCAAGUACAUGUUUUAUAUCCUGCCGCAAUAGAUAUUUGGAAUACGUGACUAUCACUAACGUUGCUACGCUGGCAGCUUAGUCUAAUAAAUUUGAUUAUCCUUCACUGUGCUACUAAGUGUACCAACAAUCAACUUCUCAUAUAAGCUCCAAACUACUGCACAAUUCUAAAAUUAAUUGCAAGUCAUUUUAGUUUUGUCCCAAGCUAAACUUCUUCUGUUUUAACUAAGCUUAUAGAAAAGUCUAUCAACAUCUGCAAUAUCAAAUAAGUGUGCUACCAAAAUAGAUUUUAUUGUGUGUUUAAUGAAUCUUGUUUGUUGUUGUAGUUGUCGGCUUAUUUUUCUAUAAACUUGGUAAAAGCUAGGGAAGCUGAAUUAUGAGAAUGCCAAAACUAUUUACAAUUUGAAAUAGAGGGAGUAGGCUGUUUUAGUUGGUCUAAGUCAAUUUUUUUAACUUUCCCAAUGUUUAUAUAAGAAUAAAUUAAUAUCCACAAUAUAUACCAAAUGACCCCGCUAUCAAAACAUAUUUCAUAGUCAAUCAAUCGAAAUUAAUUUAGUUUUGCAUUAUUAUAAAUUUCAUCAAAUUUAGAGAGACUUACAUAAAAAUUGGGAACAAAUGAUAAUGUAUUCUUUAAAAUAAAGGAGGAGAUAGAUUAAGGUCCAUUUGGCAUGACUUCUCUACCGACUUCAGGAGCUGUUUGGAGCUAUUUUCUGCCAAACGGGUAAAAGAAAAUAGAUUUACCCAGGAAACCCCUUAAAUCGUACUCUCAUAGAUGUUUGAGGUAGGAUGAAGUAAAAAAUAUUGGCUUCACCCGACUUCAUCUCAUCCUAGACCCUGCAUAGUAUUCUAUGAGAGCAUAUUUUAAAGAGCUCUACAUAUGGAAUUGUUUUACCAAACGGUAUGGUUUAACAAAACGGCUCCAACUCCACAGAUGGAGCUGAAGUAAAAAUAAAAAAAAAAGUUUCAAUUGUGAAGUGAAUCUAUGCCAAACCCCAAAUGAGAAAUCAAGCCCCAUGUAAGAAUAUUAGCUUUAGAAUCAAUAAUAGAAUUUCAACCUUAUUCUAGAGAAAAUCUAGCUAAUGCUAGGUUUUUUAGAAAUUAAAAUAGCAUUUCCACUUUUUUCUUCUUGAAUGCAAGUCUUAACAAAAUAAUGCCUACAUCACGACCUAUAUGACAUAUGAGGGCGUGUGCAGUGUUGAGAAAUAGUGAAAUAUUUUUUACCCUACUUUGAGUAAAAAAUAUUGCUUUACCCUACUGUAAAUGCAUUUAGACAUAGAGAGGGUAAUUGGAACGAGAGUAUUGAAGUUUGGAUGUAUGAGUGUAUUUGUUUUUCUUUUUAGGAAUGUGAGUUUCGGUGAGACAGGAAAUUAGAGUUUAGAGGGCAAACUGAUCAAGCCCC
Molecule: long non-coding RNA, 1760 nt
Filed under: Sorghum bicolor (sorghum)
Lineage: Eukaryota; Viridiplantae; Streptophyta; Magnoliopsida; Poales; Poaceae
Description: long non-coding RNA (SBIC_LNC018235)
Source: RNAcentral